RNAcentral lists this ribosomal RNA (381 nucleotides) under uncultured bacterium. RNAcentral's name for it is "bacterial SSU rRNA". It matches the Rfam family "Bacterial small subunit ribosomal RNA", at positions 524 to 907 of the family's 1533-position model. The record is from RNAcentral.
GACAGGGGUGGCAAGCGUUGUUCGGAGUGACUGGGCGUAAAGGGUCUGUAGGUGGUUUUCCAAGUCUUUGGUAAAAAGCUGUGGCUCAACCAUAGUGAGGCCAAGGAGACUGGGAGACUCGAGGCUGGGAGAGGGAAGCGGAAUUUCUGGUGUAGCGGUGAAAUGCGUAGAGAUCAGAAAGAAGGCCGGUGGCGAAGGCGGCUUCCUGGAACAGACCUGACACUGAGAGACGAAAGCGUGGGGGAGCAAACAGGAUUAGAUACCCUGGUAGUCCACGCCCUAAACGAUGGGUACUAAGUGUGGGGAGCAAUCCCUGUGCCGCAGCUAACGCAAUAAGUACCCCCGCCUGGGGAGUACGGCCGCAAGGUUGAAACUCAAAGG